GACAGAGGGUGCAAACGUUGUUCGGAUUCAUUGGGCGUAAAGGGUGCGUAGGCGGCGCGGUAAGUCGGGUGUGAAAUCUUGGAGCUUAACUCCGAAACUGCAUUCGAUACUGCCGUGCUUGAGGACUGGAGAGGAGACUGGAAUUUACGGUGUAGCGGUGAAAUGCGUAGAUAUCGUAAGGAAGACCAGUGGCGAAGGCGGUUCUCUGGGACGGUACUGACGCUGAGACGCGAAAGCGUGGGGAGCGAACAGG
This 253-nucleotide ribosomal RNA is filed under the name uncultured bacterium. RNAcentral's name for it is "partial 16S ribosomal RNA". It matches the Rfam family "Bacterial small subunit ribosomal RNA", at positions 524 to 776 of the family's 1533-position model. The record is from RNAcentral.